This 399-nucleotide unclassified non-coding RNA is filed under the name Fusarium oxysporum. Its description in RNAcentral is "sequence contains ITS1, 5.8S rRNA gene, ITS2". The stretch from base 120 to 273 matches the Rfam family "5.8S ribosomal RNA". The record is from RNAcentral. Lineage: Eukaryota; Fungi; Ascomycota; Sordariomycetes; Hypocreales; Nectriaceae.
CGUGAUGAUCGGACUUGGGGGGGGGGUUCAGCCGCGCCCGUUAAACGGGACGGCCCGCCCGAGGACCCCUAAACUCUGUUUUUAGUGGAACUUCUGAGUAAAACAAACAAAUAAAUCAAAACUUUCAACAACGGAUCUCUUGGUUCUGGCAUCGAUGAAGAACGCAGCAAAAUGCGAUAAGUAAUGUGAAUUGCAGAAUUCAGUGAAUCAUCGAAUCUUUGAACGCACAUUGCGCCCGCCAGUAUUCUGGCGGGCAUGCCUGUUCGAGCGUCAUUUCAACCCUCAAGCUCAGCUUGGUGUUGGGACUCGCGGUAACCCGCGUUCCCCAAAUCGAUUGGCGGUCACGUCGAGCUUCCAUAGCGUAGUAAUCAUACACCUCGUUACUGGAAAUUCGUCGCA